AUGCAUUGGAUGGAUGCCCGGGCAUUUAGAAGGAAGGACGCUUUCAGAGGUGAAAGGCCAUGGGGAGAGAGAGCAUCCGUGAUCCAUGGAUCUCCGAUCGGGAAACCGUAUCCAAGCUCCGUGGCUAGUCUGCGCUCUUUGGACUUUUCAAACUUAGCGAACUAAAACAUCUGAGUAGCUAAAGGAAGGAAAAUCAACCGAGACCCCGUUAGUAGCGGCGAGCGAGAGCGGAACAAGGGUUUUCAUCAAAAGAAAUCCGGAGCAGUUUCAUUCGAUUUGUUGUGGAUUGGAUGAUGGAAAAACUAGCAAGCAGCAAGCGUAGGCUAUGUUGCCGUAGCGCGCCCUACGGAGUUGUACAAAGUCAGCAACCAUUUUGGGGCGCAAGCAUAGGCAACACAGGACUGAUGACGGGGUGGGGCGCGCAGUGAACUGGUUUUCUAAAAAGAUUGGAAGAUCCGGCCAAAGAAGGUGAUAGCCCUGUUCAUUUGUUCCCAUGGUUCGAUCCUUCCCAGUAAAACGCGGCGUGUUCGAAUGAUGAUCGCUUUUACGCGAGAAAGGGGGACCACCCUCUAAGCCUAAGUAUUCCUUAAUGACCGAUAGCAUACAAGUACCGUGAGGGAAAGGUGAAAAGAACCCCAAUCGGGGAGUGCAAUAGAGAACUUGAGAUCCGAUGCGAACAAUCACUCGAAGGAGCGAAGCGCGGGCGCACUCACUCUAACGGCGUACCUUUCGCAUGAUGGGUCAGCGAGGAAAUGGGAACAGCGGCUUAAGCCAUUAGGUGUAGGCGCUUUCCAGAGGUGGAAGAUUUACGUUCUUCCUAUUUGACCCGAAACCGAUCGAUCUAGCCAUGAGCAGGUUGCAGAGAGCUCUAACAGGCCUUGGAGGACCGAACCCACAUAUGUGGCAAAAUACGGGGAUGACUUGUGGCUAGGGGUGAAAGGCCAACCAAGAUUGGAUAUAGUUGUUUUUCCGCGAAAUCUAUUUCAGUAGAGCGUAUGAUGUCGUUUGCCUGAGGUAGAGCACUUGGGUGCUAAGAUCCGAAGUCGAGAGGGAAAUAGCCCAGAUCGUACGCUAAGGUCCCUAAGCAAUCACUUAGUGGAAAAGGAAGUGAUCGAGCGAUGACAACCAGGAGGUGGGCUUGGAAGCAGCCAUCCUUUGAAGAAAGCGUAAUAGCUCACUGGUCUAGCACCAUGGCACCGAAAAUGUCUCAGGUCUCAAGUGAUCCACCGAAGCGACGAGACCUUGAAAGCUGCUUUUUCAAGUGUCAGUAGCGGGACGUUCUGUCAAUCGGGGAAGGUUUUUGGUGACAAGACCUGGAGAUAUCAGAAGUGAGAAUGCUGACAUGAGUAACGAGAAAUCCUGUGAAAAACACGAUCGCCUGCCAGUGGAAGGCUUUCUGCGUUCAGUCAAUCUACGCAGAGUGAAUCGGUCCCUAAGGAAACCCCGAAAGGGCUGCCGUCCGAUGGGUACACUAAAGUGACGAAGUUGCUUUGACUACUGAACCAUGCCUGGAUCGUCGGAGCGAAUUGGAUGAUCGAGCCGAGGGCUGCCCCCUCUUCCCCUCGCUCUCCUUUCCUUAAUAUUCACCGUCAAGUCAUCAAAGCCGUCAACUAAUUCAGAGGGGCUCAGCUGGCCCGGUCGCCCUACGCUACUGGCGCUUCCUAAGGCGAAGCUCUCGUCUUUGGCAACCAGCAAACUCAGGGCUAAAACCUGUAGUUUUGAAGCAAGGGAUGAGUGCGAAAGCCAUUGCGCUUCCGUACACGUGCAUACGUUUUCUUGCUUCGUCGCGCGUUAGUACAAUAACGCACAGCCGUUUUCUUGCUGGGGCGGACACGGAUUUCUCUCUAAAGGCGAAGACUCAGAAGUGGGCGAACACUCGGCCCAGCGGGCGAACAUGCCGGCUCCGGCUCCGCGCACCUGUUGACACCUUUCGAAGCACUUUCACGUGUGAACCGAAGUCGUCUUGCCGAACUCCUUCCUUUCUUAUUUCAGUCCUUGCCUUUUUCAUCUUCCGUAGGGGCCUUUAGUCUUUUGAUUAGACUAGAGGUCGCGAGAGAGCAGAGCGUACCGCCCUUCCAUAGUCACGAGGAUCUUAAUAGUCGGUCGCGACUAUUGUCAUAGUCAACGACGGUUGAAACUUCUUGGAAAAAACUUCGAAUUGGGAGGGCGAUCCUCCCGGUGAGCUGACCGUACCCCAAACCGACACAGGUGAACAAGUAGAGUAUACUAGGGCGCAUCGAGAGAACCAUGUCGAGAACUCGGCAAAAUGACCCCAUAACUUCGGGCCCAACUAUCCCACCUGAACUAACCAGUUCAUUAAGCCAAUUUAGGGUGAGAAUAAUCACGGUGAAUCUG
This 2355-nucleotide non-coding RNA is filed under the name Oryza sativa Japonica Group (Japanese rice). RNAcentral describes it as "Bacterial large subunit ribosomal RNA". It matches the Rfam family "Bacterial large subunit ribosomal RNA", at positions 15 to 1798 of the family's 2925-position model. The record is from Rfam by way of RNAcentral. Lineage: Eukaryota; Viridiplantae; Streptophyta; Magnoliopsida; Poales; Poaceae.